UACGAAGGUGGCAAGCGUUACUCGGAUUUACUAGGCGUAAAGGGCAGGUAGGUGGUUUGAUAAGUCUGUUGUGUAAGCUCCCGGCUUAACUGGGAGAGGUCAACAGAAACUGUCAGGCUUGAGUAUGGGAGAGGGUACUGGAAUUCCCGGUGUAGCGGUGAAAUGCGCAGAUAUCGGGAGGAACACCAAUGGCGAAAGCAGGUACCUGGACCAUUACUGACACUCAGCUGCGAAAGCUAGGGGAGCAAACAGG
RNAcentral lists this ribosomal RNA (253 nucleotides) under uncultured bacterium. Its description in RNAcentral is "partial 16S ribosomal RNA". It matches the Rfam family "Bacterial small subunit ribosomal RNA", at positions 524 to 776 of the family's 1533-position model. The record is from RNAcentral.